RNAcentral lists this long non-coding RNA (2776 nucleotides) under Homo sapiens (human). RNAcentral's name for it is "HSALNT0311889". The record is from RNAcentral. Lineage: Eukaryota; Metazoa; Chordata; Mammalia; Primates; Hominidae.
GUUCAGCCGCCGCUGCUGGCGCGCACUGUACAGCGGCAUCAGCCGCUUGUAGGACAUGUCCAGCAGCUGGUCCAGGUCCACGCCACGGAAGUGCAACUGGACAGCACUGACCCAGAGACAGGGGUUAAAAUGGACCUUCCUUCCUAUCAAGCCAUGGACUAAUGAUUAAGGAGUGGGACCAUUUAUCAGACCUGUCUAGUCUAUGAAUUCCACCCCAAGGGCCACAGUUGUGCACGGGCAUUGAGCCAAUCCCUGGACUUCUGCUGGCACGUGGGAGGAAGGACUCUCUCUUUCCAUGAGGAUUGCUGAGAGGAAGCCUAGGGCUGCCAGCAAUCAUCCUGCCACCGCACGGGAGGUGCACACCUGAAUGAAGGUAACAGCCGCAGAGAGCAAAGCCCACAUGGAGGAGCCAGGACAGGAUGGGGACAACAAGGCUUGAGCCCCUAGAUCCGGGCAUGCCUGGCCUUUUAGGCCGAGGACACUAGAAAGGUCAAGACAGCAGAGUGGGUUUCAAAGUGCUGAGUCCCUGUGCAAUAGGGCCCCUUCACAGCGCCCAGGGCCCAGCUCUCUACGUCCCUGAUAAACUACAGCAUGCAGGUGGGUGCAGAGACUUAGGUUCGUGUGCAAAGCUAAGAUUCCGUGCAGGGCUGGUUUCCAGGGGAUGUGACAUAUGCAGUGGCCCAGAGUCCCAUUUUCAGAAGGACUCAGUGUUUGGUUUAAUGCUUUGUUACCACUGUCCUGAAAUUCUUUAUAAUUGUAUUUUUUGAAUCUGUGAUUUGUACGUGAAAUCCAGUGGAGCAAUGGAGCAUGCCUGUGAGCAGAGGAGACACCCAAAAGAUGGUGUCUGCUGCUCCUUGCUGCCCUGUUCACACGCAGCACAGAAUUCUGGUGUGCUGCUACAGUGCAGGUAUCCUCAAAUGGACUUCACUUUAAUAGGUCACUUUGCACUGUGGCUGUCAGGUAGCUCGAGCUCACUGGAAAAUUAAAAUUAAGGCAUUAAAGGUAAGAGUGUUCUGUAGAGCCUCUUUCAUUUUCAGUUCUGUCAGUAAACAGACACAGGAUUGCCUGCUUUCUCCUAAAACAGAGAUGUGGCUCCUAUCAGCCUAAAUGACGAGCAGGGUCCCAACAGCCAUGUCCACCCUAUUCUGAUGCCCAACUCCUCAGUGAGACUUCCAGAUAAGCUCAUGGGGUUCUGUGGUCCCACUACUACUGUGCUCCAAACCCAAAGUGCAGAAGCCCAUUUUUCAGAGGCUCAAAGGGUGCCCACACCUGUCCUCCCCGCUGAUUUGGAUAUUACACCACAAGAUUAUCUGAUGUAAAUCUGGACACUUCCUCUUGAUCUAAUUCCUCCUGACAACACACACACACCCAACCCUAACCUCAACCUGGGAUGAGUCUCUCAUAUUCCCAUUUAGUCUGAGAACUCCCUUGGCUGACUUUUACAGCCUCUUUGGGGCAAAUCUCUCAGGGAUGUUAGGGCAGUGCAGAGCCAAUAUUAUCUUGUAGGUAAGGCACAUAUCUUGUGACAUGGCUACCACCAAGCCUAGGUUCCUGUAAAUCAGACUGUCAUUUAAUUCCCGUGGGAAGCAGUGACAUGGUAUUUCUCAAAGAAGAAAACAGAAUGGCUGAAGAAAGCUGGUAGGAAGGAGGCAGGCCCAGCUGUUUGCAAUUUGGGGGAGACAGUACAGACACUGAUAGAAUGGCAUCUGAGCUAUUCCCCGUUUGUCCUUUACGUGUGUGUAACAAAUUGAUGUGUCUGAAGGUAGCAGCUGUUUAAUGCCAGUGCCAAAUUAGAGAAAAGAUAGAUCUCCUGGAUGUGAACAAUGAACAUUAUUUCAUCCAGGUAGUCAGAUUAGCUACAUCCUCAUUUCAAUGGCAAAAGCACUAAUUAUUUCAUGCAGGAUGAUGGUGAUGAGCUCAGAAUUGGUGAUUCUCUACAAUUGGGAAAUACCUAAAGUGGAACAGCCCCUCCACCUAAGCAGUGCACAUUUCCAAGUAACUGCUGAGGGGGAGGGACAUGAUGAUUACCAUGCCUGUGAACAAGGCCAGCUCCAAGAGGAGACGUAUUAUGUGAGCUCAUCGUCCUUCUUGUGAGGUCAUGUGGACUUGUCAGUGCAUCUCAGGGAACUAAGCUUUGCGAACCCCUGAAAGCCUGGGAAAAGCUGAAGCCCAGUGCUGCAUGGACAGGACGCCUGUGUUGUGUUUCUGCAUGGCAUGGCAGUGUGUGUACACAGUAGGCCUCACCCUUCACGUCUUUCUGAAAUUUCCAAAGGUCUCCAUGUAUCCUUUAUGAACUUCAUGAAAAUCUUGACUUGAUUCAAAUGCGUUUCUUGGAGGAAGAAUGCUUUCAGUGGCUGCAGUGUGCCAGGGUAGACUGAAGUCAGUUUCAAUUCAUUACAAACACAGUGCCAGCUCUGAGGAUGCCUCAGCUCAGAAGAGGUACGUAUUGAUAGCCAACACCCAGGGGGAAUGUGAUGCUGACCAGUGCUGUGGGUGCCAGCGCACUCGUCUGCAUCAAACCAUCACCUCGCAGUCACACCUACAGUUCUUUGCACUCAAUGCAAAGCUAUGGCCCAGGAUUGGGGGAGCAGCGUGUGCUAAGACACAGGUUAGGAGCCAUAUUCCCCAAGCAGUGGUGGCUACAUUCAUUUCUGGGAAAGCUCAGCAAAGAAAUGUGACCCCAGGGACACCUAAAUUUGGACUUUUUCUGUAUGAACACUUGGAAGAUUUGUAGCGUUUUAUAAAACUUGUAUUCAAUUAAAAUGUGUUUCAAUGA